Molecule: ribosomal RNA, 107 nt
Filed under: Escherichia coli H420
Lineage: Bacteria; Pseudomonadati; Pseudomonadota; Gammaproteobacteria; Enterobacterales; Enterobacteriaceae
Also listed under: 2 other names
Source: RNAcentral
UGGCGGCCUUAGCGCGGUGGUCCCACCUGACCCCAUGCCGAACUCAGAAGUGAAACGCCGUAGCGCCGAUGGUAGUGUGGGGUCUCCCCAUGCGAGAGUAGGGAACU